AUUGAACGCUGGCGGCAGGCCUAACACAUGCAAGUCGAGCGGAUGAAGGGAGUUUGCUCCUGGAUUCAGCGGCGGACGGGUGAGUAAUGCCUAGGAAUCUGCCUGGUAGUGGGGGAUAACGUCCGGAAACGGGCGCUAAUACCGCAUACGUCCUGAGGGAGAAAGUGGGGGAUCUUCGGACCUCACGCUCUCAGAUGAGCCUAGGUCGGAUUAGCUAGUUGGUGGGGUAAAGGCCUACCAAGGCGACGAUCCGUAACUGGUCUGAGAGGAUGAUCAGUCACACUGGAACUGAGACACGGUCCAGACUCCUACGGGAGGCAGCAGUGGGGAAUAUGGGACAAUGGGCGAAAGCCUGAUCCAGCCAUGCCGCGUGUGUGAAGAAGGUCUUCGGAUUGUAAAGCACUUUAAGUUGGGAGGAAGGGCAGUAAGUUAAUACCUUGCGGUUUUGACGGUACCAACAGAAUAAGCACCGGCUAACUUCGUG
RNAcentral lists this ribosomal RNA (484 nucleotides) under uncultured bacterium. RNAcentral's name for it is "partial 16S ribosomal RNA". It matches the Rfam family "Bacterial small subunit ribosomal RNA", at positions 30 to 507 of the family's 1533-position model. The record is from RNAcentral.